UUUAUGAAUAUAAAUAUUAUGGCUUACUUUAUGGUUUGCUCCUAAGAGUUUUCUUUCUUUUUUUGUUUUUUUGUUUUUUUGAGACAGGGUCUCACUAUGAAGUUAAGGCAGACCAGGAACUCACUGUGUAGCCCAGGCUAGUCUUGAACUCACAACGAACCUCCUGCCUCAGCCUCCCAAGUGCUGGGAUUACUGGCAUGCACCACCAUGCCCGGCCUCCUAAGAGUUUUCUAAGGUGGAGGAACUUAACAAAAUGGAGUUACAACACCUGACUCCUACAGAUAACGUCAGAUCUUUAACAGGAAGCACCUGACUCCUACAGAUCUUUGGCUGUCCGAGUUUCUCCCGUGCAGGGUCAAAAACAAGUUUAACACGUGCAGUCCUUAAAAAGGAACAAAUGUUAUCUUUCAAAAAGCCAGUGGGCCAUGGCUGACUUCCCACAUUCUUCCAGGAUUUACUUCUAUCCACAUCAAAAUUAAGGUAAUUGUGAAAGUUUCUUCGAGAAGUUGCUUGAAGUUUUCCUUGCUCUUUUUGGUAUUUAAUGUGUUCAUUCAGUUCUUUUUCUCUUCUUUCCAGCACAGAUUCAGAUUUGCCGGUGAUGGUCUUUUUAGUGUCCUUUGGCUAUCAAAUCAUGGCACUGCUGAAGAAUAUACCUCAACAACCCUUACAGGAAAUGCAGAAGGAUUUUUUUGAGAAGGCUCCAAAAUGCUGGGAUUACAGACUGGUUACUAUGUGCACUAACCCGCACCAUUCUGAAUCUGCUAUUGUGAUAUGACCUGUGGACUCUGGAAGAUGGCACAGAAUUGAAAACUGAAACGGUGAGAAGAUUAGGAAGAGACCAUCACUGAUGCAUGCUAGCCAAACUGUAAGAAACAAGACAUCGACUCUAAAGGUAUCCAGGGCUUACCCUAAAUGAAGUCUGUUUAUCAUUUUAAUGCAUGUGUUUCAAUGUGCGUUAAAUUUGAUGUCAUAUUUUAAAAAUCCUAAUUCUGGUAGCCAUUCAGCUGCCUCCCCCAUGUAAAAUCAGGCCUUCAAAAGAUGCCUAAUAUUUAAUAAUAUCAUUGUUGGAAGGAAAAUGCUGUUAGUCUGUUAUGCUUGGGUUGUCCUUGAAUAAGCAUGUGUGUAUAUUGUCUUAUUUUUAUGCCAUAAUGUAUUACAACACUUUUAUCAUUCACCAGCAUAUUCACUGUCUGCCUAAAAUAUGCAAUUUAUGCAUUAUAAUAUGAAGUAAAGGU
Molecule: long non-coding RNA, 1235 nt
Filed under: Fukomys damarensis (Damara mole-rat)
Lineage: Eukaryota; Metazoa; Chordata; Mammalia; Rodentia; Bathyergidae
Description: lncRNA (ENSFDAG00000031279.1)
Source: RNAcentral